RNAcentral lists this ribosomal RNA (798 nucleotides) under uncultured bacterium. RNAcentral describes it as "bacterial SSU rRNA". It matches the Rfam family "Bacterial small subunit ribosomal RNA", at positions 8 to 801 of the family's 1533-position model. The record is from RNAcentral.
AGAGUUUGAUCAUGGCUCAGGAUGAACGCUAGCGGCAGGCUUAAUACAUGCAAGUCGUGGGGCAGCACAGGUAGCAAUACUGGGUGGCGACCGGCAAACGGGUGCGGAACACGUACGCAACCUUCCUUCAAGUGGGGGAUAGCCCAGGGAAACUUGGAUUAAUACCCCGUAACAUUAUGAGAUGGCAUCAUCUUAUAAUUAAAGCUACGGCGCUUGGAGAUGGGCGUGCGGCUGAUUAGGUAGUUGGCGGAGUAAUAGCCCACCAAGCCUGCGAUCAGUAACUGGUGUGAGAGCACGACCAGUCACACGGGCACUGAGACACGGGCCCGACUCCUACGGGAGGCAGCAGUAAGGAAUAUUGGUCAAUGGACGCAAGUCUGAACCAGCCAUGCCGCGUGGAGGAUGAAGGCCCUCUGGGUUGUAAACUUCUUUUAUCUGGGAAGAAACCCAUCUUUUCUAAGGUGGUUGACGGUACCAGUUGAAUAAGCACCGGCUAACUCCGUGCCAGCAGCCGCGGUAAUACGGAGGGUGCAAGCGUUAUCCGGAUUCACUGGGUUUAAAGGGUGCGUAGGUGGGCAGGUAAGUCAGUGGUGAAAUCUCCGGGCUUAACCCGGAAACUGCCGUUGAUACUAUCUGUCUUGAAUAUCGUGGAGGUGAGCGGAAUAUGUCAUGUAGCGGUGAAAUGCUUAGAUAUGACAUAGAACAUCAAUUGCGAAGGCAGCUCGCUACACGGUUAUUGACACUGAGGCACGAAAGCGUGGGGAUCAAACAGGANNAGAUACCCUGGUAGUCCACGCC